UACAGAGGGGGCAAGCGUUGUUCGGAUUUACUGGGCGUAAAGGGCGCGUAGGCGGCCAGCACAAGUCAGUUGUGAAAUCUCCGGGCUUAACUCGGAAAGGUCAACUGAUACUGUCGGGCUAGAGUCCGGAAGAGGAGUGUGGAAUUCCUGGUGUAGCGGUGAAAUGCGCAGAUAUCAGGAGGAACACCAAUGGCGAAGGCAGCACUCUGGGACGUGACUGACGCUGAGACGCGAAAGCGUGGGGAGCAAACAGG
This 254-nucleotide ribosomal RNA is filed under the name uncultured bacterium. Its description in RNAcentral is "partial 16S ribosomal RNA". It matches the Rfam family "Bacterial small subunit ribosomal RNA", at positions 524 to 776 of the family's 1533-position model. The record is from RNAcentral.